Molecule: ribosomal RNA, 253 nt
Filed under: uncultured bacterium
Lineage: Bacteria
Description: partial 16S ribosomal RNA
Rfam family: Bacterial small subunit ribosomal RNA
Source: RNAcentral
UACGUAGGUGGCAAGCGUUAUCCGGAUUUACUGGGUGUAAAGGGAGCGUAGGCGGUGAUGCAAGUCAGAAGUGAAAGCCCGCAGCUCAACUGCGGGACUGCUUUUGAAACUGUAUGACUAGAUUGCAGGAGAGGUAAGUGGAAUUCCUAGUGUAGCGGUGAAAUGCGUAGAUAUUAGGAGGAACACCAGUGGCGAAGGCGGCUUACUGGACUGUAAAUGACGCUGAGGCUCGAAAGCGUGGGUAGCAAACAGG